CCUAGGGGAGGCAGCAGUGGGGAAUAUUGGACAAUGGGGGCAACCCUGAUCCAGCCAUGCCGCGUGUGUGAAGAAGGCCCUCGGGUUGUAAAGCACUUUCAGUGAGGAAGAACGCCUGGUGGUUAAUACCCAUCAGGAAAGACAUCACUCACAGAAGAAGCACCGGCUAACUCCGUGCCAGCAGCCGCGGUAAUACGGAGGGUGCGAGCGUUAAUCGGAAUUACUGGGCGUAAAGCGCGCGUAGGUGGCUUGAUAAGCCGGUUGUGAAAGCCCCGGGCUCAACCUGGGAACGGCAUCCGGAACUGUCAAGCUAGAGUGCAGGAGAGGAAGGUAGAAUUCCCGGUGUAGCGGUGAAAUGCGUAGAGAUCGGGAGGAAUACCAGUGGCGAAGGCGGCCUUCUGGACUGACACUGACACUGAGGUGCGAAAGCGUGGGUAGCAAACAGGAUUAGAUACCCCUGUAGUC
RNAcentral lists this ribosomal RNA (465 nucleotides) under Vreelandella stevensii. RNAcentral describes it as "partial 16S ribosomal RNA". It matches the Rfam family "Bacterial small subunit ribosomal RNA", at positions 338 to 795 of the family's 1533-position model. The record is from RNAcentral. Lineage: Bacteria; Pseudomonadati; Pseudomonadota; Gammaproteobacteria; Oceanospirillales; Halomonadaceae.